AUUGAACGCUGGCGGCAUGCCUUACACAUGCGAGUCGAACGGCAGCACGGGUGCUUGCACCUGGUGGCGAGUGGCGCACGGGUGAGUAAUACAUCGGAACAUGUCCUGUAGUGGGGGAUAGCCCGGCGAAAGCCGGAUUAAUACCGCAUACGAUCUACGGAUGAAAGCGGGGGACCUUCGGGCCUCGCGCUAUAGGGUUGGCCGAUGGCUGAUUAGCUAGUUGGUGGGGUAAAGGCCUACCAAGGCGACGAUCAGUAGCUGGUCUGAGAGGACGACCAGCCACACUGGGACUGAGACACGGCCCAGACUCCUACGGGAGGCAGCAGUGGGGAAUUUUGGACAAUGGGCGAAAGCCUGAUCCAGCAAUGCCGCGUGUGUGAAGAAGGCCUUCGGGUUGUAAAGCACUUUUGUCCGGAAAGAAAUCCUUGGCUCUAAUACAGUCGGGGGAUGACGGUACCGGAAGAAUAAGCACCGGCUAACUACGUG
RNAcentral lists this ribosomal RNA (486 nucleotides) under uncultured bacterium. RNAcentral's name for it is "partial 16S ribosomal RNA". It matches the Rfam family "Bacterial small subunit ribosomal RNA", at positions 30 to 507 of the family's 1533-position model. The record is from RNAcentral.